GAUCUCAAAUCAGGCGGGACUACCCGCCGAACUUAAGCAU
This 40-nucleotide ribosomal RNA is filed under the name Albatrellus ovinus. Its description in RNAcentral is "partial 28S ribosomal RNA". Lineage: Eukaryota; Fungi; Basidiomycota; Agaricomycetes; Russulales; Albatrellaceae. The record is from RNAcentral.